AGCGUACACGGUGGAUGCCCUGGCAGUCAGAGGCGAUGAAGGGCGUGCUAAUCUGCGAUAAGCGCCGGUAAGGUGAUAUGAACCGUUAUAACCGGCGAUACCCGAAUGGGGAAACCCAGUGUGACUCGUCACACUAUCAUUAACUGAAUCCAUAGGUUAAUGAGGCGAACCGGGGGAACUGAAACAUCUAAGUACCCCGAGGAAAAGAAAUCAACCGAGAUUCCCCCAGUAGCGGCGAGCGAACGGGGAGGAGCCCAGAGCCUGAAUCAGCAUGUGUGUUAGUGGAAGCGUCUGGAAAGGCGCGCGAUACAGGGUGACAGCCCCGUACACAAAAGCGCAUGUGCUGUGAGCUCGAUGAGUAGGGCGGGACACGUGGUAUCCUGUCUGAAUAUGGGGGGACCAUCCUCCAAGGCUAAAUACUCCUGACCGACCGAUAGUGAACCAGUACCGUGAGGGAAAGGCGAAAAGAACCCCGGCGAGGGGAGUGAAAAAGAACCUGAAACCGUGUACGUACAAGCAGUGGGAGCACAGGUUUACCUGUGUGACUGCGUACCUUUUGUAUAAUGGGUCAGCGACUUAUAUUCUGUAGCAAGGUUAACCGUAUAGGGGAGCCGUAGGGAAACCGAGUCUUAACCGGGCGUUAAGUUGCAGGGUAUAGACCCGAAACCCGGUGAUCUAGCCAUGGGCAGGUUGAAGGUUGGGUAACACUAACUGGAGGACCGAACCGACUAAUGUUGAAAAAUUAGCGGAUGACCUGUGGCUGGGGGUGAAAGGCCAAUCAAACCGGGAGAUAGCUGGUUCUCCCCGAAAGCUAUUUAGGUAGCGCCUCGUGAAUUCAUCUCCGGGGGUAGAGCACUGUUUCGGCUAGGGGGCCAUCCCGGCUUACCAACCCGAUGCAAACUGCGAAUACCGGAGAAUGUUAUCACGGGAGACACACGGCGGGUGCUAACGUCCGUCGUGAAGAGGGAAACAACCCAGACCGCCAGCUAAGGUCCCAAAGUCAUGGUUAAGUGGGAAACGAUGUGGGAAGGCCCAGACAGCCAGGAUGUUGGCUUAGAAGCAGCCAUCAUUUAAAGAAAGCGUAAUAGCUCACUGGUCGAGUCGGCCUGCGCGGAAGAUGUAACGGGGCUAAACCAUGCACCGAAGCUGCGGCAGCGACGCUGAUGCGUUGUUGGGUAGGGGAGCGUUCUGUAAGCCUGUGAAGGUGGCCUGUGAGGGUUGCUGGAGGUAUCAGAAGUGCGAAUGCUGACAUAAGUAACGAUAAAGCGGGUGAAAAGCCCGCUCGCCGGAAGACCAAGGGUUCCUGUCCAACGUUAAUCGGGGCAGGGUGAGUCGACCCCUAAGGCGAGGCCGAAAGGCGUAGUCGAUGGGAAACGGGUUAAUAUUCCCGUACUUGGUGUUACUGCGAAGGGGGGACGGAGAAGGCUAUGUUGGCCGGGCGACGGUUGUCCCGGUUUAAGCGUGUAGGUGUGUGUUCCAGGUAAAUCCGGUUCACUUUAACACUGAGGCGUGAUGACGAGGCACUACGGUGCUGAAGCAACAAAUGCCCUGCUUCCAGGAAAAGCCUCUAAGCAUCAGGUAACAUCAAAUCGUACCCCAAACCGACACAGGUGGUCAGGUAGAGAAUACCAAGGCGCUUGAGAGAACUCGGGUGAAGGAACUAGGCAAAAUGGUGCCGUAACUUCGGGAGAAGGCACGCUGACACGUAGGUGAAGUGAUUUACUCAUGGAGCUGAAGUCAGUCGAAGAUACCAGCUGGCUGCAACUGUUUAUUAAAAACACAGCACUGUGCAAACACGAAAGUGGACGUAUACGGUGUGACGCCUGCCCGGUGCCGGAAGGUUAAUUGAUGGGGUCAGCGCAAGCGAAGCUCCUGAUCGAAGCCCCGGUAAACGGCGGCCGUAACUAUAACGGUCCUAAGGUAGCGAAAUUCCUUGUCGGGUAAGUUCCGACCUGCACGAAUGGCGUAAUGAUGGCCAGGCUGUCUCCACCCGAGACUCAGUGAAAUUGAACUCGCUGUGAAGAUGCAGUGUACCCGCGGCAAGACGGAAAGACCCCGUGAACCUUUACUAUAGCUUGACACUGAACAUUGAGCCUUGAUGUGUAGGAUAGGUGGGAGGCUUUGAAGCGUGGACGCCAGUCUGCAUGGAGCCGGCCUUGAAAUACCACCCUUUAAUGUUUGAUGUUCUAACGUGGACCCGUGAUCCGGGUUGCGGACAGUGUCUGGUGGGUAGUUUGACUGGGGCGGUCUCCUCCUAAAGAGUAACGGAGGAGCACGAAGGUUGGCUAAUCCUGGUCG
Molecule: ribosomal RNA, 2298 nt
Filed under: Xanthomonas citri pv. anacardii
Lineage: Bacteria; Pseudomonadati; Pseudomonadota; Gammaproteobacteria; Lysobacterales; Lysobacteraceae
Description: bacterial LSU rRNA
Rfam family: Bacterial large subunit ribosomal RNA
Source: RNAcentral